Molecule: long non-coding RNA, 304 nt
Filed under: Brachypodium distachyon (stiff brome)
Lineage: Eukaryota; Viridiplantae; Streptophyta; Magnoliopsida; Poales; Poaceae
Description: long non-coding RNA (BDIS_LNC004479)
Source: RNAcentral
ACCCAUAAAUUGAUUUUUUUUUAAAUUCUCCAUCGCCCAUCCCACCUUACUUUAUGUCCUAUCCUCUUUGGUGGGUUCAACCUUUAUUCGUUGGUCUGAUUUGGGCUAUAUAAAAGGAGCCACCAUGCCACAACCAUUAGAAAUGCCCCAUCUCAUGGAAUGAUUUUUACCCAGUUUUCAUUUUUUAUCAUAAUUAACGGGGUUUCGAUAAACUUUUUUUUGUAAUAUCAUAUUUCAGAGAGAGAGAGACAGACAGACAGAGAUGAAACUACAAUUUCAAAUUCUGGCUAUCACACACACACAU